GAUGAAGAACGUAGCGAAAUGCGAUACUUGGUGUGAAUUGCAGAAUCCCGUGAACCAUCGAGUCUUUGAACGCAAGUUGCGCCCGAAGCCAUUAGGCCGAGGGCACGCCUGCCUGGGCGUCACACGUCGUUGCCCCCCCAUCUACUCCUUCGGGAUUGCGGGGGGCGGAUGAUGGCCUCCCGUGCGCCUCGCCGCGCGGUUGGCAUAAAUGCCAAGUCCUCGGCGACGCACGCCACGACAAUCGGUGGUUGCGAAACCUCGGUUGCCCGUCGUGUGCGGUCGCCGCGCAUCGAGGGCUCGAAAAAAUUGCCGGGUUCCGGCUCGGCUUUCAACGCGACCCCAGGUCAGGCGGGGUUACCCGCUGAAUUUAAGCAUAUCAAUAAGCGGAGGA
Molecule: unclassified non-coding RNA, 391 nt
Filed under: soil metagenome
Description: partial contains 5.8S ribosomal RNA, internal transcribed spacer 2, and large subunit ribosomal RNA
Rfam family: 5.8S ribosomal RNA (bases 1-122)
Source: RNAcentral